Molecule: ribosomal RNA, 253 nt
Filed under: uncultured bacterium
Lineage: Bacteria
Description: partial 16S ribosomal RNA
Rfam family: Bacterial small subunit ribosomal RNA
Source: RNAcentral
UACGGGGGGGGCAAGCGUUGUUCGGAAUUACUGGGCGUAAAGGGCCCGUAGGCGGCCAACUAAGUCAGACGUGAAAUCCCUCGGCUUAACCGGGGAACUGCGUCUGAUACUGGAUGGCUUGAGAUUGGGAGAGGGAUGCGGAAUUCCAGGUGUAGCGGUGAAAUGCGUAGAUAUCUGGAGGAACACCGGUGGCGAAGGCGGCAUCCUGGACCAACACUGACGCUGAGGAGCGAAAGCGUGGGGAGCGAACAGG